Cygnus atratus (black swan) is the source of this 4748-nucleotide long non-coding RNA. RefSeq lists it as uncharacterized. The transcript has 10 exons. NCBI's taxonomy places the organism in Eukaryota, Metazoa, Chordata, Aves, Anseriformes, Anatidae. The record is from RefSeq and is a predicted model, not a curated record.
CGAUAAUCUGCAGGGAGCCUGGAUAGCUGUAAUGCUUCAUUGCUGCUUCCUCCGUGUCUGGCUUUGCAUUAACUCUUCAAUUUGCUUGCUUUGGCUUCCCUGACUGUUAAAUGCAUACACACAGGGUCACUUCAACAUAGGAGAAAAUCGGCUGCCGCAGUCGGCUGCUCCUCAGCCUCCAAGCACCGGUGCUGGAGAUGUAGGCUACCUCUCCUGAUGGCCGGGGCCACCAUCUCAGCAGGCUUCGUCUGGAGGACUGAUCAAGUGUGAUGGAGCCGUCCUUCCCUCGGCUGCACUGCAUCAGCCCAGAACUAUGGAGAGAAAGACAGCAUGAGCAAUGGGUGCUGCUGUAGAUGAUCUGCGUCUGAGCUGUCCCACCAAAAUCACACAUACUGGCCUUCAUCAUUUUUGUUACAAAAUACAAUUAAUGCAGCAGCAAGUCCUCUAUGGACCAGAUUCUCAGAAGCAUGAUGCUACCCAACAGCUGACUCACCCACUGUACCUCUAACCUUCCUCCUGCCUAGAAAGUCUUUCCAUCAUGCCACCUCAUCACAGCAGCUCCUACCCACUGCCUGCUGUGAUUUUUCCCAUUCCCUCCCCCAAGGCAGGAUGCGGGCAGCAGCCCAGUGAAGACCCUGAGAUUUCUAGUGCUGCCAUAGCUGAGCCAUGGGGCUGCUGCACUGGGCAACUGGAGCAGUCUGGUGCAGGCAGUUUCAGCCCAUCCCCAGCUCUGGCCUCUCUGCCUCAAGCUGGUGUUCACUGCAGCCAUGGCAAGCGAGUAGCAAAAGUUGUCUACAAGCUUGCAGGUCUGAUUCCCUCUUUAGGAGAAAGACCAGAAAAAAAGCAAGUCUUGAAUAUCACGAUAGCUUGUUUUUUAAUGUUUCAGUCACUAACUUGCCAUGUUAGGUUCUAAAACUAGACCGUGACCCUGCAGUGGCCACAUCAUUAUUACCACACCCAAGAUAAUGGAGACAUCACCCAGAUCUCAGCUGGGUCCUGUCCUGUCAUCCAAGCAACAGCUGUCCUGAAUUAAACUCAUAAACAGUCACUCUGGUAAGGCAGAAUAUUGUUCAGACCAGGAAAUGUGUAAGGAAAAUAUUGCUGUAUAGAUCCAUUUUUGAAAAGUUAGUAUUUCUGAAUGGAAAGAGUUUAAUACACUUUAAUAACACCAACCAAAUAUGUUGGAAUAUAUUUGGAUAUAGUUAUUAGCACUCAGGUAGACUAAUGUAACUGUCCAGGAGACACUCUUCAAAAUGAGCCUGGCAAUACAGAGCAUUUGCUUUCUAUACUCUUCUGCAUUCUGCCAUCACAUAUCUAUGCUGCAAUUUGCCAUGUAUAAUAUUCACAUUAUUGCCUUAACUACCAUGUGCUUUAAGAGUGCCAUGUGACAGGGACUUUGAGGGAAGAGGAGAGGGAAGGGAUUCCAGCUGCUCAUGUAUCAUGCUUGCUCCCACCUGACAGCUUCUCCAGACAGGGUUGUACAUCCCCUCAUCAGUUGGAGCGAGAGGCAGGGCAUGCAGCUGGCUUUGUUGUUUCCCAAAUGCUAUUGCAGAGUGCACCAUGGGGCAGAUCAGGAUCAUGGGGUGUGUUUUGAAACAAAAUGGCUCUUGGCUGUGCAAAAUAGAAGUAACCAUUAGUAACAAAAGUGUGGGUAUGGUGCAGCACACAUAAACUCAUUUACUUAAGCAAAACCAUGCAGAUGCACCUGAGGUUACCUUUUGAACUCUCUGAAAUACAUAGCAGAAACUAACUGUGCAGUAUGCUGAUCUAAUUGUGCAUACAUAAGGGAAAAUGCUUUGCUACAUGCUUAAAUAAGCUCUGUAGAUAAAUUGGAUGCUAUCAAAUGAAUAAGUUUAUACAAUCAAAAAGCACAGGAGAUUUUGGCUAUCCUUUUACUCCAUAAGAUAGUUUUGUACAGCAAUAAGCAGAAGACCCAACUAUACAGCGCCAAGGGUAUCUCACAGGUAACAUCCAGAACCCUGGGAAAACAGGAUGUAUGAGAGGCAUUUAAGAAUACUAUAAGGUUGCUGUUAAAGAUAGAGAAAUAGCAAAAUUGCUGUUCAAGUCUUAUUUAAAUUAUACUCCCCACUGUUUUCCAUUAUGUUUGAAACCUGGUAAUAGUUCAGCAGCCUGUCAAAAAAAAAAAAAAAAAUUCUGUAAGUGGGAGGGCUGACAAAAUUACAGCAGCUGGGUAUCUAUUCCUCUGAACUUCACUGUGCAGAGCUACUGUGGAUCUUCCUGCAGAAAGCGAAUCAAGGUGGAAGAGAAAAAUUGGUUUCAUUAACAGUCUCUGUCACUGAAGAGUCAAAUAAUUUUUCACUCUUCAGUUGCGUUCAAUUACCGAGAUAUUACUAGAAGUAGUUCUUCUGUGACAGAGAGCUUUAACGGUGUUUUUUCUUUUUUAGCACUUUGCUUAUUGUGCACUCCUGUUGCACCCAUUGGUGGGUGCAGAUUAACACCUGUUACUGUUUUUACAGAAAAUGAUGAAUGGUGCCAUUACUGGCACAGCUUUAUGUGAGCAAAAUUAAGCUCGUGCAUUUUAAAUUUUGUAGUUACAGUAAUUACCACAAUUACUUUCAAAUUAUAGUUUGCACGGACCGUGCAUCAAAGCUGAAAAACUGCGAACAGCCAUCUACCCACGGUUCUUGGAGAGGGCUGUAGGAAAAAUGCAAACUGCGGGCUUGCUCCAUGCCUUCCUUGAGUCAAGAGAAAGCUAUAAGGCACCCGACUUUUUUGCCCUCAGCUAGCCAUUUUCAUAACACUCCUCUCUAAGACAUGUAUAAGGAACUCACAUUUCAAUUUAUAGCUAUAUUUGAUUCAAAUAUGAAAUGUGUAGUUCCAAAGCUUGACUCAAAUCACAAGUGCUUAUCUGGAUUUUUGAAACCUGACCCAUGUGACUGAACUAACAGGCAUAGUUGUACUUUGGAGUUAACUGCACACAUCAGUUGUACCAGCCAUUAUAGUUCAUCUACCAACCAUUAUAGUUCAUCUCACCUGGUGUUGACUGUUGAAUGUCUGAGCAAUCUAAGCUGCUCAUCGUGGUUUCCUUGGCAGUUAUUGGGGAUCACUCCACCAAAGACAAACAAGUGGUAUUAAUGAGAACAGUUGCCCUCCAGUAGUGUCUAUUUCUUUCUUUUGACUAUAGAGGGAGCCAAGAAAACUCGCUUGGACCAGAAGCCCAGCUUUUACUUAGACAUCUAGCUGAGCUGAAGGAAAACUGCCAGUACCAGGCUGAAUUUCCUACAGUGAGAUGUACAGAAAUCAUAGCCCGUACUUUCUGAAAGAUUUAUAGAUAAACACACAUGAAUAUACACUGUAAUUUCUGUAUGGACAAAAUGGACUGGGACCUGUGGAAUUAAUUUUAUCAUCCUUCGUAGCAGAAAGCUGAGCUGUUUAACAAAGGAAAAAGAAGGGGAAUAAAAACAAACUGCCUUCAGUCUUUCUGCUGGGACUGAAGAUGGCCCACUGAGGUCAAAAGAAGGCUUUCCACCUAUUCCCAUGUGCACUGAAUCCAGUCUCUGCUAUGUUGCUCCGUUACUGGGGUAUGCUGAUGUGCUACAGCAGCCACCCACAUAACACAGUAGCCCACCCAUAUGCCAUAUGCAUUACAUAGGUUUUGAGCUGACUAUUUCUAACUGCUCUAUUUUCAUCUCUGAAUGAGAAUGGUACGUUUCAGAGACCCAAGCUUAAACAUAUGGAAAAAUGGAAGAUGCCGCUGGCUUGAAAGUCUGCUGCUGUGCUGCCCGUUGGAGACUUGCCUUGGGCAUGAGGACCACAGCCACAAAAACAGCUUGGCGCUGGGAGCCCCACUUUGCUGUGGCAUAAGCUGGGUUCCUGCUGACCUCACAUCUGUCUUUGCGUGGGUUUUGCUGAGGCUGAGAUGUUAAAGUGGAAGUAAAUGCUGUACAUAAGAGAAACAUGUCAGUCAUAAAGGAGAGUGCACAGCAACCAUGCUUCAUCUGGCACAGUAUUUCAUAGGGUUAAGGGGGGUGAUGAGAUUGUAGGGCUAUGCGGGUCAGUUUAGUCUCACCCAAGGGAUCUCAGGGUUGGUUCAGUUUGGUGAAGAGGACUGCUAAGGCUUUAUACACCUGGGUUGGCUUGGGAAGUGGUUGACAGAACAAACUAUUGCUAUUACAGCCUAUACGUCCAGGAUGGAAGUGCUAAGACAACCAAAGGAGGAGGGUAGAACUGUGGACCACUGCUCCCCUGUCAACAACAACCUUGCUGCAGUGUGGUCUCUUCUAUACAUUAGCAGUCAUCACUGGUUUCUCAUGGAAUAAUGUUUUGGCCAGGUAAAUGUAAGGUUUGGGUUUGGCCUCCAGUCAGAUGGUACCCAAAAAUAAGUAUCACAUGACACCCGUCUCUUAUUAAAAAGCCAGGCAGAAGAAAGCACAGAUGCAAAGUAGUUUGGGCACCAUAAACAAACCACCACCAGAAAAGCCAGGUAUGUAUGAGAUCAUCUUUUUAGAGAACAUUUUUUCUCAGGCAUAAUGAGGUGGGAAGAGAGACAUUGGUAGAAGAUUUUCCCUUACUGCAAUGCCUCUUUUAUUAUUUUCAUUAAAUUUCUUUUCACUCCUGCUAAUACACAGAACAAUAAAAUAAAGCAACUUGAAAGUUCACAGUAUGCAAGAUUCAUCUUGCAUCCACAGAAUUUGUGUAACCCAUUUUAAACUGAUGUUUGCUUGUUUAAGAAUGCACACCUGCACAUUACCACUUGUGGUAAAUAAGUUUAUUAGCCAAGGAAUGUC